UAAGGAAUAUUGGACAAUGGGCGCAAGCCUGAUCCAGCCAUGCCGCGUGAGUGAUGAAGGCCUUAGGGUUGUAAAGCUCUUUCGCCGACGAAGAUAAUGACGGUAGUCGGAGAAGAAGCCCCGGCUAACUUCGUGCCAGCAGCCGCGGUAAUACGAAGGGGGCUAGCGUUGUUCGGAAUCACUGGGCGUAAAGCGCACGUAGGCGGAUUGUUAAGUCAGGGGUGAAGGCCUGGAGCUCAACUCCAGAACUGCCCUUGAUACUGGCAAUCUCGAGUCCGGAAGAGGUAAGUGGAACUGCGAGUGUAGAGGUGAAAUUCGUAGAUAUUCGCAAGAACACCAGUGGCGAAGGCGGCUUACUGGUCCGGUACUGACGCUGAGGUGCGAAAAGCGUGGGGAGCAAAACAGGAUUAGAUACCCUGGUAGUCCACGCCGUAAACGAUGGAGGCUAGCCGUUGGCGAGCAUGCUCGUCAGUGGCGCAGCUAACGCAUUAAGCCUCCCGCCUGGGGAGUACGGUCGCAAGAUUAAAACUCAAAUGAAUUGACGGGGGUCAUAGCUGUUUUCCCU
RNAcentral lists this ribosomal RNA (565 nucleotides) under uncultured bacterium. Its description in RNAcentral is "partial 16S ribosomal RNA". It matches the Rfam family "Bacterial small subunit ribosomal RNA", at positions 355 to 940 of the family's 1533-position model. The record is from RNAcentral.